AUGCCAAGAAGACAGGAUAAGACAGAUGGAGGGAAAACUGGAUGUUUUUUAUCACUUUCUUCAGUGCUGCAGCCUGGUGCCAUGGAUGUGGUGUCAACCCAGGGACAUGGGGAGGUGCAUCGACUUUGCCUUAAUGAGUCCUCACUGCAUGCCAAUGCUCUAUGGCUCAGAGACCUGCCUUCAACCCAGUCAAGAGUGCCUCCCCCUCAAUAUCUGCUGCUCACGUUGUCAGCAUCCCCCACCGAUAUGCUCUCAGCCACCGUCCAGGAUGUUACCGCUGAUCCCUCCCCCAGAGGUCUACAGAAGUACUUUAUCUCUCCCGCCCCCAUAGCUCAACAUCUAAAGAACUUAAAACUGAAAAUUAGGAGCCCCUUUUGUACCAAAUUAGACAUAUAUAUAUAUAUAUAUAUAUAUAUAUAUAUAUAUAAUACAAUAUAUAUCUUGUGUUUUGGAUUACAGUCAAAAGGAGCUGGAAUUAGUUUCUGAUCAGCAGGAGAGUUUCUUGCCUGGGGAGCACUGCUCCUCUGUAUGAGACGCAACUGUACUCAUCUACCAGGACAAGGCACCCUGGUGUCCUGUGGAUGUAGACGUGAUGAGUCCCAUUCCCACAAGACAGACCUCCAUCUGUCACCAAGCGUUGAGAUGCAUGGGGUGUUAGACGAAAUAUGCUCUUUCAAGAAAGCCCCAAAUAUCUGAUAUAUGGAAAUAGUCUGGUGUCCAUUACUCACUUGCUGUUACUUAAUCUCCUGGGUGAGUUACGUAAUCUCCCUGUACUUCAGUUUCCUUACUGAAAAGAUGUGGAUAAUGGUGUCUCUUCUAAAAAGAGGGCGACAGUAACUGCUGCAACAUGCUCAGCACAAGGCCAGGUCACUUGUAAAGACUCAGGGGCCAGGUCUUUAAGGUCUUCUCUGCUUCACCAGGGAAGGAGACAGUGAUGAGCUCAGAGACAUCAGCAAGUGUGUGGUGAGUGAAAAGAUGUUAGAAAAAAUCAUCACUGGAACUUUAAGCACUGGAUACCAUGACAAAGGGUUGGCAUACAUGAGAAUUCUCUGAAAACUGUUAACCACAGGAAGUUAACAUCAAAGGCUACCACCCAUGUAAUCUCCAAGAUACCAUCAGAAAAGGUCCUUCCACCACUAUGUCCUUGACAAACAUGAGUUCCCUUCGUGUACCUUAAUUUUUCUCAUAGAGUUAAUUCCUAGUUUCCAAUUUCCUAUCAGCUCCUCUGAUUUUUCCUAUCAGCUCCCAAUUUUCCAGGUCCCUUCUGAAGAAGCCUUUGAAGACAUAAUCAGGUUUCUUUGCACACUUAUAUGCUAGAGGACUAUCAGUAGACAAAAAUUCAUUGUGAAGAUCACACAACAUGUUUAUGAAGAUGAAUCAAUACCCUGGACCAAAGAGUCCCAGAUGAGUAGAAGUGGCUACUACCUCAAAUGUGUACAUACCAGUGCGACAAACAAGGGACCAUUAAGAAUCAAGUAAACAUGAGAAGAUGAAAAGAAGUGAAUAAAAUUCCCUAAAGAAAUAGAGAUCUAUGAACUCUCUUAUAAAGAAUUCAGUCCUCUUCAAGCAGUUUAGUGAAACGCAAGAAACGUGGACAGACAACUACAUGAAAUUCAGGGGGAAGAUGCACCAACGAAAUGAGAAGCUCAACAAAGAAAACAAUCAAAAGAACGACUGAAAACGAGAGCUGAAAAAUAAAACACUGCGUUGAAGAAUAGAAUAAAGUAUUUCAGCAACAAACUCAAGCAAGCAGAAGAAAGAAUCAGUGAACUAAAAGGUAGAUCAUUGGAAAUUAUCCUGCCACAGGAGUGAAAAGAAAAAAAAUUAUUAAAAAGUGACAACACACGCUGGGACAUUAUCAGUAGAAAAAAUAGUGAAUUAUGGAAGUCCCAUAUGAGAAGAGAGAGAGAGAAAAGAAAGUAUAUUGGAAACAAAAUGGUUGAAAACUUACCAAACAUGGAAUGAGAAAUACAUCUAGAUUCACGAGGCCCAAAGAAUCCCAAAUAGCUUGAGCCUGCAAUGGUUACAGGAAAUCACAUUGUGAGUAAAUAGUCUAUGGUCAAAGACACAAGCAAUUUUUUUUUUUUCUCUCUAAUUUUAUUUUAUUUUUAAACUUUACAUAAUUGUAUUAGUUUUGCCAAAUAUCAAAAUGAAUCCGCCACAGGUAUACAUGUGUUCCCAUCCCGAACCUCCUCCCUCCUCCCUCCC
This 2208-nucleotide long non-coding RNA is filed under the name Bos grunniens (domestic yak). Its description in RNAcentral is "lncRNA (ENSBGRG00000008200.1)". Lineage: Eukaryota; Metazoa; Chordata; Mammalia; Artiodactyla; Bovidae. The record is from RNAcentral.